GGCAACGGCGUUCGAAGUUCGUUCGACGUUCGACAGAUCUUUAAUUAAGAGUUUUCGCUUAAUAUUCGUUUAUUUUACGAAUUGAUCAAGUUAAAAGACGAUAAUCUUCCAUCUGAUUGUCGGAGUAGGAAAAAAAUUAGGAAAAUUUCUUAAGAGAACGGUUUGAAAAAUGAAGAAAAGAACUUUGGGAGCGACGAGUAAACGUCGACAUACGAAAGAAAUGUCCACCGAGCAUGAAGACCUAUGUAACAUACAAAAAAAGAAUCGGAAAUUAUUAAAGGAAUGUGAAGGGUCUCUUUCAACUGUAGACAUAGAUAAAGAAAUAUAUCCUUGGUAUAAUUAUAAACCAGAUAUGACUGCAUUGAAACAAUGGUCAGAACGUUUAAAAAAUGAAAGGAAAGUCAAAA
Molecule: long non-coding RNA, 407 nt
Organism: Centruroides sculpturatus (bark scorpion)
Lineage: Eukaryota; Metazoa; Arthropoda; Arachnida; Scorpiones; Buthidae
Exons: 2
Source: RefSeq, a predicted model, not a curated record